CCUACGGGAGGCAGCAGUAGGGAAUAUUGCUCAAUGGGGGAAACCCUGAAGCAGCAACGCCGCGUGGAGGAUGAAGGUUUUCGGAUUGUAAACUCCUUUUGUUAGAGAAGAUAAUGACGGUAUCUAACGAAUAAGCACCGGCUAACUCCGUGCCAGCAGCCGCGGUAAUACGUAGGGUGCAAGCGUUACUCGGAAUCACUGGGCGUAAAGAGCGCGUAGGCGGGAUAGCAAGUCAGAUGUGAAAUCCUAUGGCUUAACCAUAGAACUGCAUUUGAAACUGUUAUUCUAGAGUAUGGGAGAGGUAGGUGGAAUUCUUGGUGUAGGGGUAAAAUCCGUAGAGAUCAAGAGGAAUACUCAUUGCGAAGGCGACCUACUAGAACAUAACUGACGCUGAUGCGCGAAAGCGUGGGGAGCAAACAGGAUUAGAUACCCUUGUAGUC
This 440-nucleotide ribosomal RNA is filed under the name uncultured bacterium. Its description in RNAcentral is "partial 16S ribosomal RNA". It matches the Rfam family "Bacterial small subunit ribosomal RNA", at positions 338 to 795 of the family's 1533-position model. The record is from RNAcentral.